RNAcentral lists this ribosomal RNA (429 nucleotides) under Acidobacteriota bacterium. RNAcentral describes it as "Acidobacteria bacterium partial 16S ribosomal RNA". It matches the Rfam family "Bacterial small subunit ribosomal RNA", at positions 355 to 776 of the family's 1533-position model. The record is from RNAcentral. Lineage: Bacteria; Pseudomonadati; Acidobacteriota.
UAGGGAAUCUUCCACAAUGGACGAAAGUCUGAUGGAGCAACGCCGCGUGAACGAUGAAGGCCCUCGGGUCGUAAAGUUCUGUUGUAAGGGAAGAACAAGUGCCGCAGGCAAUGGCGGCACCUUGACGGUACCUUGCGAGAAAGCCACGGCUAACUACGUGCCAGCAGCCGCGGUAAUACGUAGGUGGCAAGCGUUGUCCGGAAUUAUUGGGCGUAAAGCGCGCGCAGGCGGCCUCUUAAGUCUGAUGUGAAAGCCCCCGGCUCAACCGGGGAGGGCCAUUGGAAACUGGGAGGCUUGAGUAUAGGAGAGAAGAGUGGAAUUCCACGUGUAGCGGUGAAAUGCGUAGAGAUGUGGAGGAACACCAGUGGCGAAGGCGACUCUUUGGCCUAUAACUGACGCUGAGGCGCGAAAGCGUGGGGAGCAAACAGG